CGCUGAGUUUGAUCCUGGCUCAGGAUGAACGCUAGCGGCAGGCCUAAUACAUGCAAGUCGAACGGUCACGCAGUAAUGCGUGAUAGUGGCGCACGGGUGCGUAACACGUAUGCAACCUACCUUAUACUUAGGGAUAGCCUUUGGAAACGGAGAUUAAUACUUAAUGGUAUAUUUAGCUGGCAUCGGUUAGAUAUUAAAGAUUUAUUGGUAUAAGAUGGGCAUGCGUCCAAUUAGUUAGUUGGUGAGGUAACGGCUCACAAGACGAUGAUUGGUAGGGGAACUGAGAGGUUAAUCCCCCGACACUGGCACUGAGAUACGGGCCAGACUCUACGGGGAGCAGCAGUAGGGAAUAUUGCACGAAUGGGGCGAAAGCCUGAUGCAGCAACGCGCGUGA
Molecule: ribosomal RNA, 394 nt
Filed under: uncultured Arcicella sp.
Lineage: Bacteria; Pseudomonadati; Bacteroidota; Cytophagia; Cytophagales; Flectobacillaceae
Description: bacterial SSU rRNA
Rfam family: Bacterial small subunit ribosomal RNA
Source: RNAcentral